AUAGUGCUCCUCCUACCCACAAUGGUAUCAGAACACAAUUUUCGCGUUUUUGGAAGAAAAUUCGCAGAAUAACUGCCGAAGGAGAACUCU
This 90-nucleotide small RNA is filed under the name Sinorhizobium meliloti 2011. RNAcentral's name for it is "putative ncRNA". Lineage: Bacteria; Pseudomonadati; Pseudomonadota; Alphaproteobacteria; Hyphomicrobiales; Rhizobiaceae. The record is from RNAcentral.